Phascolarctos cinereus (koala) is the source of this 391-nucleotide non-coding RNA. Lineage: Eukaryota; Metazoa; Chordata; Mammalia; Diprotodontia; Phascolarctidae. The record is from RefSeq and is a predicted model, not a curated record.
GUCGGCUAAAGCUGUCCCCUCCCCCCGUUUGGGUCGGCCGGCCGGCAGGCUGAGAGGCUGGCGGGCGGCUCUCGAGCUCAGAGUUAGGCGCCUCCCUCUGCCCCUCCCGGCUCUGGCGGGGAGGGGGGAGCCGGAAGCGCCCACGCAGCAGGUGGUGGUGCCGGACCUCCCCCCGCCUUGAUCUUGAUCAGCAGAAAAACUGGAUGUGGCUUAUUCUCAGAUUCUUUCUAAAAUGAUCAUAUGGGAAAACCUCUUGGAUAUACGGGGUGAAAUAUGCAUUCUUAGGAUGUGAAAAUUUUGUUCUUCCGGAGAUAACGUCACAUCAGAUUGGAGACCUGAUUUCCUUGUUCUGGGAAUAGGGAGACCUGAGGAGAGGGGGAAGAGAGAAGGA